Long non-coding RNA from Pseudopipra pipra, 436 nucleotides. RefSeq lists it as uncharacterized. The record is from RefSeq and is a predicted model, not a curated record. The transcript has 2 exons. NCBI's taxonomy places the organism in Eukaryota, Metazoa, Chordata, Aves, Passeriformes, Pipridae.
GCCACGGGCCCGCUCCGGCCGCGGGGAGCCGGGGCUCUGCCGGGGCAGGGAAGAACGGGGGCAGCCGCUCCCUCGUUCCUCCCGUGCUCCGGGACCCCGAGCAGAGCUGCCCGUCUGUCCCCGUGUCCCCGUGUCUGUCCACAGGCGGCCCCAGGAGCUGGCACUGACCGUGCCGCGGCUCGGGCACAGGCUGCUCCCAGCUCUGCCUGCGGAACUUCGGCAAUUGCCCACAGCAGUUCUUUGCCCCGCCAUCCCGAAGGGGCAGCUCAGCUGACACCUGCCAGACGGGGAAGGUCCUGCCUGGGAGGGAAACGGCUACAGCAGAGGAAACCAAGAAACGCUCCAACCGGACGCUGCCGCGCGAGUCAAAGGAGGGAAGAACCGCAGGCAAAUACAGUCAGGAAAUGCGCUUUUAUUAAAUCUCUGCAGCAUUAAA